CCGCACGGGUGAGUAACGCGUAUGCAACUUGCCUAUCAGAGGGGGAUAACCCGGCGAAAGUCGGACUAAUACCGCAUGAAGCAGGGGCCCCGCAUGGGGAUAUUUGCUAAAGAUUCAUCGCUGAUAGAUAGGCAUGCGUUCCAUUAGGCAGUUGGCGGGGUAACGGCCCACCAAACCGACGAUGGAUAGGGGUUCUGAGAGGAAGGUCCCCCACAUUGGUACUGAGACACGGACCAA
This 237-nucleotide ribosomal RNA is filed under the name uncultured bacterium. RNAcentral describes it as "partial 16S ribosomal RNA". It matches the Rfam family "Bacterial small subunit ribosomal RNA", at positions 98 to 334 of the family's 1533-position model. The record is from RNAcentral.